GAUUCCGUAGCUCAGCUGGGAGAGCGCUACCUUGACAGGGUAGAGGUCGCUGGUUCGGUUCCAGUCGGAAUCA
RNAcentral lists this transfer RNA (73 nucleotides) under Bacillus subtilis. RNAcentral's name for it is "tRNA-Val". It matches the Rfam family "tRNA". Rfam says of the family: Transfer RNA (tRNA) molecules are approximately 80 nucleotides in length. Lineage: Bacteria; Bacillati; Bacillota; Bacilli; Caryophanales; Bacillaceae. The record is from RNAcentral.